UGGCCCAUCGUCUAAUGGCAGGACAGCGGUUUUUGGAGCCGUCGGUCGGGGUUCGAAUCCCUGUGGGCCAGCCA
This 74-nucleotide transfer RNA is filed under the name Trueperaceae bacterium. RNAcentral's name for it is "tRNA-Gln". It matches the Rfam family "tRNA". From Rfam's summary of the family: Transfer RNA (tRNA) molecules are approximately 80 nucleotides in length. Their secondary structure includes four short double-helical elements and three loops (D, anti-codon, and T loops). Further hydrogen bonds mediate the characteristic L-shaped molecular structure. tRNAs have two regions of fundamental functional importance: the anti-codon, which is responsible for specific mRNA codon recognition, and the 3' end, to which the tRNAs corresponding amino acid is attached (by aminoacyl-tRNA synthetases). tRNAs cope with the degeneracy of the genetic code in two manners: having more than one tRNA (with a specific anti-codon) for a particular amino acid; and 'wobble' base-pairing, i.e. permitting non-standard base-pairing at the 3rd anti-codon position. The record is from RNAcentral. Lineage: Bacteria; Thermotogati; Deinococcota; Deinococci; Trueperales; Trueperaceae.